GGAGCCUUUGCCGGAACCUGAGCCUGCUGCCAUCUUGGUUUUGGAUUUCUUGACUCCAGAACCAUGAGAAAAUAAAUGUCUGCUGUAAGCAAAGUGACUUUUACAAAAUGCUCUCCUUGGGCAUCACCUUUGCUGUCAUCUUGCUUCAAGACUCAGUUCUUGCCAUGGUGAGUGAGCACCUUCCGAAGCAGCACCUGCUAAGGAACAACUGCUUUGGGAGAGCUCAAUGUGACAUCCUUGGAAACAGAUGAGCUGAAGAAAGACAGUUAUUUUAUUGGGAGGACAAAUUCAAGGCCUGGCAGAAGUGAGAGGAGUGCUGAGAAGAAUCAGAGGGCAAGCAACGAAGGAACCAGGGACAUAAAAAUCUGACGGAUUGUGCCACAUACUGGAAGACUGUGAAAUCUAUCCCCGCACUCUGAGAACCAGAUUGAAAGAAGAUAUGCAUUUCAUUUAACCUGGGAACUGGGCUAUCAUAUUGAUAGGACAUCAAAGGAGCCACAGCAGUGCAACUAAAGAAACUGGGAAAAGAAGAUGUCCAGAACUGCCUUAGAAGAGGCAAUAAUGAUGAGCUGCUUCACCUCUUGAAGAUUUUAGCUAGAAUAUAAUUGAACAAUUUCAAGACAUUUCCAAGGUCAGCAAAACUUUGCCCAUACUGAGGACCUGGAGAGAAUGGAUGAAAUAACAAAUUGGAACACAGAAAUCUUCCUUUUCUCUUCUUGGCUCCAGCCUCAAUUCUAAUCAAGAAACACACCCCUGGGGAAAACAACAACAACAACAACAACAACAAAAACAACAACAAACCAUGCCCUAAGCAACGGAUAGGAG
RNAcentral lists this long non-coding RNA (825 nucleotides) under Heterocephalus glaber (naked mole-rat). RNAcentral's name for it is "lncRNA (ENSHGLG00100046043.1)". The record is from RNAcentral. Lineage: Eukaryota; Metazoa; Chordata; Mammalia; Rodentia; Bathyergidae.